Long non-coding RNA from Gymnogyps californianus (California condor), 278 nucleotides. RefSeq lists it as uncharacterized. The transcript has 4 exons. NCBI's taxonomy places the organism in Eukaryota, Metazoa, Chordata, Aves, Accipitriformes, Cathartidae. The record is from RefSeq and is a predicted model, not a curated record.
UUUCCUGCUUAGUUUCUGCAGUGCUGAGUUUGCAGAAGAGAGAAUGUGCACUUUUCAGGAAGGUGGUGAUAAGUAGCCCAAAGCAACUAUGUUCUGGACUUCACUGCUGAGCUAGAUCAACCCUCUGAUAUCGGCUGAAAGGACUUGUGAAUCCAAGAGGAGCAGCAUAAGAUUAACCAUUGAUCAUGACUGUAUAGAAAGACUUGGGAAAUAUCCAAUUUGCACUACUAAAGUACUGGUGGCAUCUGUGAACAACCAUCCUCGGGGGGACACUUCAU